AGCCAGCAGCCGCGGUAAUACGGAGGGGGCAAGCGUUGUCCGAAUUUAUUGGGCGUAAAGCGCGUGUAGGCGGACCGUCAAGCCUGGGGUGAAAGGUCGGGGCUCAACCCCGUACAGGGCCCUGGGGACUGGCGGUCUGGAGGCAGGCAGAGGAGCGUAGAAUUCCUGGUGUAGCGGUGGAAUGCGUAGAGAUCAGGAAGAAUACCCGUGGCGAAGGCGGCGCUCUGGGCCUGUACUGACGCUGAGACGCGAAAGCGUGGGGAGCGAACGGGAUUAGAUACCCCGGUAGUCCACGCUGUAAACGAUGGAUGCUCGGUGUCGGGGGUAUCGACCCCCUCGGCGCCCAAGGUAACCCGGUAAGCAUCCCGCCUGGGGAGUACGGCCGCAAGGUUGAAACUCAAAGGAAUUGACGGGGGCCCGCACA
This 424-nucleotide ribosomal RNA is filed under the name uncultured bacterium. RNAcentral describes it as "bacterial SSU rRNA". It matches the Rfam family "Bacterial small subunit ribosomal RNA", at positions 506 to 927 of the family's 1533-position model. The record is from RNAcentral.